Mustela erminea (ermine) is the source of this 2193-nucleotide long non-coding RNA. RefSeq lists it as uncharacterized. NCBI's taxonomy places the organism in Eukaryota, Metazoa, Chordata, Mammalia, Carnivora, Mustelidae. The transcript is spliced from 2 exons. The record is from RefSeq and is a predicted model, not a curated record.
AGGCCUUCUAAAUCUUGCUGUGUCAUAAGUCUAAUUCCUAUCUCUUCUGAUGGAAAAUGUGAAAAAUCUAUGAUAAGAACACAGGUAUUCUCAGCACAGUAUUUUUCAAAGCCUCAGUGCCUCACAAUAGGAUUGUUUUGCAGGAAUUUUUUCUAGGCUCCUCUCAUAUCCAGUUGCUGAGGUACUGGGGUUUUACUCUUAUCACACUGUGCUGUCAGAAAGUUAGGUCUUUCUUCUGGAGGGUGACCCUGACAAAAACCAAGUGGUAAUUAUAAUAGAAAACUGUAAGAAAAAACGCUCCCCCAGAGACGUGGAAACAGGGCCUCAGAUGUCAACUCAGAAGUAGGUGCUGAGAGCAAAGAUGGAGCACCAUAUGCACACGUUGGAAAUGAACUGUGGAAAAGGCUGUACUUCUCUUUCAGAGGGAGUUUGAGUUAGCCUCCAACAACUUAGCUGUAGGCAGAAAACCCAGUUGUGGCCCUAGGUCCAAAAACCUGCGGUGGCAAGUAUGGGCUUUGUCUGCUGGGUUCAGGAUGAUUUCACUUCUCGCCUAGUUUUUACGAAGCAGUCACAGUUUAAAAUAACUAGUGACCCACAAACUGCCAAAUAAGAAUGUUUAACAUAAUGUGGUAGGUACUGAGUGUUUCUUUUGUAAAAGGAAAUGUAAUGUCAUUGACAGAUAAAAAGGGAAAUAUUCCAGUGGUCUUUGAGAUAAAACUAGAUUCUCUUGUACUUGAGUAAUUUUCCUCGCUGGGUGCUGGUAAUAAUAAGCCCAUUGCCCGUCCCCUGACUGUGACUCUCCUGAAUCCACAGCUUUGAUUGGAAACUCUCAACCCCUGACUGGCCUCAGGAGCACUGAUUACGGGAGGCACCCCACACACUUCCCUCGUAAACAUUUGGCAGAUCAGGAAGUGCUGAAAAGCGAUGCCCCUGGCUCUCAGAAGAGGGUACUGGUGGGAGAAGAAAUAGAACAUUUUCCCUCUUGCAGCUGUCAGAGAGUGAUUAUGUCAAAUGGGUUUUCAAGGAGCCACAAAGUAAUUACAGGGUAACUUCUUGACAUUAUUUUCCAGUGUUUGACUCAGCAGAUGAUGAUGAUUAAUUGAUGUGUAUUAUUUUAUGGCUCUCUGAAACUUUGUUUGAUACUUUAGAUAGAGGUCAGACUAAGUCUUCAUUUAGACUAACAUAGCAAGUCUGCCUUAAAUUUUAACAUGUUAAUGCUCCCUUUGUGAUAGAUGAUUUCCUAAACUUCUGGUGGCUAAGAGAUGCUAUAUUUUGGACUGCCUUUUUCAUGUUGUUUUCAUGUGCUUUAAAGUAGCGUUUUAUGCUUUUAUUAAGCUAAUACUCUGGAUUUGUGGGGUUAUGGUGAGACAUAAAUGAGCUAAAUCACAAAAUUAAAAAUAAUAUCUGGCACAUGGUGAAUUGCAGCUAUAUUGAAACAUAAUUUCAAAAAGAUGUUUUAAACUUCAAAAAGGUAUUUUCUUGUACACUUAGUAAUGUUUUGGUUGAAUUAGCAGGGAAGAUUCUGACACCCUGCUUGUUUUCUGUAGUUAUGUUAUGUUAGUGCUGGCCUGUUGGUUUACAUGCUUUUAUUAAUUUUAAAUAAAUUUAAAAUAGGUGGGAUUGUUUAGAUACAACGGACUUGGAAUACAUUUUUAUUUCAGGUCCUUUUCCAGGGCGUACCUUGUAUAAAUGUCUGUAAUUGAUCUAUUCCAAGCAAGGAAUUAGUUCAGAUUGGCCAAGAUCUGGACAUUCAUGACAGGUAUAAUAGAAAUUAAGACCUUAAUUAAAAAUAGUAAGUAAUAAAUAGAGUAGAGCUUUUAUUAUUUUACUGUUUGUAAAUUGUAAACAUAUUUUUUCAACUCAGAGUUGUCAGUGAUAUGAGAAGUGUUUCGUGAUCUUCUUAGACUUUCAUUAGCUUGUAUACUAAAAGAUGUCUCAUAGGCAAAAUGUUUUUUAUGAGAAAAAUGGAAGUGUCUGAUACAACACUUUACAUUCAGCCUAAAUAGAAAAAAAACUGUCUUAAGUUUCAUUUUUGUCUUUGUUCAAUAUCAGAUAAUUUCUAUUUGCUGACCCCAAACUAGUCACCAAAAAAUAACUAUUGCAUGGGGUGCUUAGCUGGCUCAAUCCGAAGAGCUUGCGACUCUUGAUUUUGGGAUUGUGAGUUCGAGACCCACACUGGGUGUGGGGAUUACU